RNAcentral lists this transfer RNA (72 nucleotides) under Macrostomum lignano. It matches the Rfam family "tRNA". Rfam says of the family: Transfer RNA (tRNA) molecules are approximately 80 nucleotides in length. Their secondary structure includes four short double-helical elements and three loops (D, anti-codon, and T loops). Lineage: Eukaryota; Metazoa; Platyhelminthes; Macrostomidae. The record is from Rfam by way of RNAcentral.
GGGGUUGUAGCCUAUAGUGGUUAGAGCCUCAGACUCACGACUUGAAGGUCGGAAGUUCAAUUCCCGAUCCCA